Molecule: long non-coding RNA, 671 nt
Organism: Paramisgurnus dabryanus
Lineage: Eukaryota; Metazoa; Chordata; Actinopteri; Cypriniformes; Cobitidae
Source: RefSeq, a predicted model, not a curated record
AGGCAUUCUUCAGCUACAGGCGACAGCGAUAUGACCACAUUAAUAACAAUGUCUAGGUUUUGGAACUCAAAUGUGUUUCUGUGGACCUCCUCAAAACCCAGACUGACUCUCUGGACCAGCACAUAUAUGGAGACAGAGCCAUAACUUUCAGAUAUGGAUGGAUAUAAUAUCUCAAACCGGUGUUGAGUUUAUGACAUGCCCACCAAUGAGGGGCCGACAUCUGUGAUAGGACCCAGAACGUGAAGACUACAAUGAAGAAGGUUUGAAAUGAAGUACACUAGAAAUGAUCAAAGAAGUGGACAUCUUGGGUUACAGCUCAAAAUAAUUAUAACAGGUAUGCAUAUGCAUAUUAUUAAAGUAUUUGGAAAAUAUAAGCAUUACUUACAAUUAAAGCCUGGAGUUUACCCUGGGAAAAGUAAAUAAUACAUAUGCAUAAAAGUGAUGCACAUGUGUAAAUCUAAAAAUAACUUUUGUGAAGACCAAUUAAAUAAAUCAGCUUUUUUAUGUUUUUAAGUUUAAAGCAGUUUUUUGUUAUUAAUUAUAUGUUCUUUUAUGAUAUACAAUAUUAUGUAAAUAAAAUGUUUAUCUUGUAUAUAUAUUAGUAUUUUGUAAUUAUAUUAUAUUAAUCUCCAUUAUUGCAGUGUCACGUGCUAAUAAAACUAUUAAAAACA